RNAcentral lists this small nuclear RNA (300 nucleotides) under Saimiri boliviensis boliviensis (Bolivian squirrel monkey). RNAcentral's name for it is "7SK RNA (ENSSBOG00000009053.1)". It matches the Rfam family "7SK RNA". From Rfam's summary of the family: 7SK was discovered as an abundant small nuclear RNA in the mid-70s but a possible function has only recently been suggested. The record is from Rfam by way of RNAcentral. Lineage: Eukaryota; Metazoa; Chordata; Mammalia; Primates; Cebidae.
GGAUGUGAGGCCAUCUGGCUGCAGCAUGUGUCUCCCAGUUGCUUGCUAGGGUUGAUUUGGCUGAUCCGGCUGGCUAGGCACGGGUCCCUUUCCUCCCUCACCUCUCCAUGUACAUCCCUUCCCAAAUCAACCAUCCCCAGUAGAGGAGGACCAGUUUUCAGCCAAGAGUACACAACUAGCUGGGCUCCUCUGCUACCACCUUCAAACAAGCUCUCAGUCCCCGGAAUCUGACCUUAUUUGAAAAGAGGGUCUUUACAGAGGUAAUCAAUUUUAAAUGAGGUCAUGAGGGUGAACCCUAAU